CCUACGGGCGGCUGCAGUAGGGAAUCUUCCACAAUGGGCGAAAGCCUGAUGGAGCAACGCCGCGUGGGUGAAGAAGGUCUUCGGAUCGUAAAACCCUGUUGUUAGAGAAGAAAGUGCGUGAGAGUAACUGUUCACGUUUCGACGGUAUCUAACCAGAAAGCCACGGCUAACUACGUGCCAGCAGCCGCGGUAAUACGUAGGUGGCAAGCGUUAUCCGGAUUUAUUGGGCGUAAAGGGAACGCAGGCGGUCUUUUAAGUCUGAUGUGAAAGCCUUCGGCUUAACCGGAGUAGUGCAUUGGAAACUGGGAGACUGGAGUGCAGAAGAGGAGAGUGGAACUCCAUGUGUAGCGGUGAAAUGCGUAGAUAUAUGGAAGAACACCAGUGGCGAAAGCGGCUCUCUGGUCUGUAACUGACGCUGAGGUUCGAAAGCGUGGGUAGCAAACAGGAUUAGAUACCCCAGUAGUC
Molecule: ribosomal RNA, 465 nt
Filed under: uncultured bacterium
Lineage: Bacteria
Description: partial 16S ribosomal RNA
Rfam family: Bacterial small subunit ribosomal RNA
Source: RNAcentral